Molecule: ribosomal RNA, 429 nt
Filed under: Actinomycetes bacterium
Lineage: Bacteria; Bacillati; Actinomycetota; Actinomycetes
Description: Actinobacteria bacterium partial 16S ribosomal RNA
Rfam family: Bacterial small subunit ribosomal RNA
Source: RNAcentral
UAGGGAAUCUUCCGCAAUGGGCGAAAGCCUGACGGAGCAACGCCGCGUGAGUGAUGAAGGUCUUCGGAUCGUAAAACUCUGUUAUUAGGGAAGAACAAAUGUGUAAGUAACUAUGCACGUCUUGACGGUACCUAAUCAGAAAGCCACGGCUAACUACGUGCCAGCAGCCGCGGUAAUACGUAGGUGGCAAGCGUUAUCCGGAAUUAUUGGGCGUAAAGCGCGCGUAGGCGGUUUUUUAAGUCUGAUGUGAAAGCCCACGGCUCAACCGUGGAGGGUCAUUGGAAACUGGAAAACUUGAGUGCAGAAGAGGAAAGUGGAAUUCCAUGUGUAGCGGUGAAAUGCGCAGAGAUAUGGAGGAACCCCAGUGGCGAAGGCGACUUUCUGGUCUGUAACUGACGCUGAUGUGCGAAAGCGUGGGGAUCAAACAGG